This 465-nucleotide ribosomal RNA is filed under the name uncultured bacterium. Its description in RNAcentral is "partial 16S ribosomal RNA". It matches the Rfam family "Bacterial small subunit ribosomal RNA", at positions 28 to 507 of the family's 1533-position model. The record is from RNAcentral.
GACGAACGCUGGCGGCGUGCUUAACACAUGCAAGUCGAACGGAAAGGCCCUGCUUGCAGGGUCCUCGAGUGGCGAACGGGUGAGUAACACGGGGGUGCUCUGCCCUGCACUUCGGGAUAAGCCUGGGAAACUGGGUCUAAUACCGGAUAGGAGCCAUUUUUAGUGUGAUGGUUGGAAAGUUUUUUCGGUGUAGGAUGAGCUCGCGGCCUAUCAGCUUGUUGGGGGGGUAAUGGCCUACUAAGGCGGCGACGGGUAGCCGGCCUGUGAGGGUGGACGGCCACAUUGGGACUGAGAUACGGCCCAGACUCCGACGGGAGGCAGCAGUGGGGAAGAUUGCACAAUGGGCGCAAGCCUGAUGCAGCGACGCCGCGUGGUGGAUGACGGCCUUCGGGUUGUAGACUCCUUUCGCGAGGGACGAAGCUUUUUGUGACGGUACCUAGAGAAGAAGCACCGGCUAACUACGUG